UACGUAGGGGGCAAGCGUUGUCCGGAUUUAUUGGGCGUAAAGAGCUCGUAGGCGGUUCCGUAAGUCGAGUGUGAAAAAUCUGGGCUCAACCCAGUGAAGCACUCGAUACUGCGGUGACUAGAGUACGGUAGAGGAGUGUGGAAUUCCUGGUGUAGCGGUGAAAUGCGCAGAUAUCAGGAGGAACACCAACGGCGAAGGCAGCACUCUGGGCCGGUACUGACGCUGAGGAGCGAAAGCCAGGGGAGCAAACAGG
RNAcentral lists this ribosomal RNA (253 nucleotides) under uncultured bacterium. RNAcentral's name for it is "partial 16S ribosomal RNA". It matches the Rfam family "Bacterial small subunit ribosomal RNA", at positions 524 to 776 of the family's 1533-position model. The record is from RNAcentral.